Molecule: ribosomal RNA, 1363 nt
Filed under: Salmonella enterica
Lineage: Bacteria; Pseudomonadati; Pseudomonadota; Gammaproteobacteria; Enterobacterales; Enterobacteriaceae
Description: partial 23S ribosomal RNA
Rfam family: Bacterial large subunit ribosomal RNA
Source: RNAcentral
AGCAACAAAUGCCCUGCUUCCAGGAAAAGCCUCUAAGCAUCAGGUAACAUCAAAUCGUACCCCAAACCGACACAGGUGGUCAGGUAGAGAAUACCAAGGCGCUUGAGAGAACUCGGGUGAAGGAACUAGGCAAAAUGGUGCCGUAACUUCGGGAGAAGGCACGCUGACACGUAGGUGAAGUGAUUUACUCAUGGAGCUGAAGUCAGUCGAAGAUACCAGCUGGCUGCAACUGUUUAUUAAAAACACAGCACUGUGCAAACACGAAAGUGGACGUAUACGGUGUGACGCCUGCCCGGUGCCGGAAGGUUAAUUGAUGGGGUCAGCGCAAGCGAAGCUCCUGAUCGAAGCCCCGGUAAACGGCGGCCGUAACUAUAACGGUCCUAAGGUAGCGAAAUUCCUUGUCGGGUAAGUUCCGACCUGCACGAAUGGCGUAAUGAUGGCCAGGCUGUCUCCACCCGAGACUCAGUGAAAUUGAACUCGCUGUGAAGAUGCAGUGUACCCGCGGCAAGACGGAAAGACCCCGUGAACCUUUACUAUAGCUUGACACUGAACAUUGAGCCUUGAUGUGUAGGAUAGGUGGGAGGCUUUGAAGUGUGGACGCCAGUCUGCAUGGAGCCAACCUUGAAAUACCACCCUUUAAUGUUUGAUGUUCUAACGUGGACCCGUUACCCGGGUUGCGGACAGUGUCUGGUGGGUAGUUUGACUGGGGCGGUCUCCUCCUAAAGAGUAACGGAGGAGCACGAAGGUUGGCUAAUCCUGGUCGGACAUCAGGAGGUUAGUGCAAUGGCAUAAGCCAGCUUGACUGCGAGCGUGACGGCGCGAGCAGGUGCGAAAGCAGGUCAUAGUGAUCCGGUGGUUCUGAAUGGAAGGGCCAUCGCUCAACGGAUAAAAGGUACUCCGGGGAUAACAGGCUGAUACCGCCCAAGAGUUCAUAUCGACGGCGGUGUUUGGCACCUCGAUGUCGGCUCAUCACAUCCUGGGGCUGAAGUAGGUCCCAAGGGUAUGGCUGUUCGCCAUUUAAAGUGGUACGCGAGCUGGGUUUAGAACGUCGUGAGACAGUUCGGUCCCUAUCUGCCGUGGGCGCUGGAGAACUGAGGGGGGCUGCUCCUAGUACGAGAGGACCGGAGUGGACGCAUCACUGGUGUUCGGGUUGUCAUGCCAAUGGCACUGCCCGGUAGCUAAAUGCGGAAGAGAUAAGUGCUGAAAGCAUCUAAGCACGAAACUUGCCCCGAGAUGAGUUCUCCCUGAGACUUAGAGUCUCCUGAAGGAACGUUGAAGACGACGACGUUGAUAGGCCGGGUGUGUAAGCGCAGCGAUGCGUUGAGCUAACCGGUACUAAUGAACCGUGAGGCUUAACCUUACA